Apis mellifera (honey bee) is the source of this 876-nucleotide long non-coding RNA. RefSeq lists it as uncharacterized. The record is from RefSeq and is a predicted model, not a curated record. The transcript has 4 exons. NCBI's taxonomy places the organism in Eukaryota, Metazoa, Arthropoda, Insecta, Hymenoptera, Apidae.
CACGGCCAUGGCAAAAGUGCCGGGAGGCGCUUCUUCUCUCGCCAACGAAAGUAGGAUUACGCUUGAUUUUCACUCUCUGUGUUUUCGAUUACAUUUAACAAUCCAUUAACAUUAGGGGUUGCUCGACGACAUUUCUCGUAUCCGGUCAAACGAAAAAAAUGUGUGACCAGCAAGAAAAUACGUAGAGAUUUUCCUUAUUCAUGGACAUGCAUGAAUGCCAUGAGUCUGAAGCUAACGAGGAAGAGACGCGGCUGGAAUAAGCACGAGGAGCGGUCCUUUGUGCGUGCAAAAUUGAACAACAAGACGAGGAACGUUAGUCUUACUGCAAAAUGAAUGUUUCAUUUAUCUACCGAGGGGAUGCAUUAAUCUUUUGAACGAUUGUAUUAUAAAAAAGGAUUAAUUAUAUUAAUUAACACAUAUUAAUUUAAAAUCUUUGGAUAUUCUGUACACAAAAUGUUAAUAUAUUCAUGAACUUUUGAAGAGAUCUUUGAAUUAACUUUCAAUUCAUUAAAUCUUAAUAGACCAUUCACUUUAAUCAUUUUGGCAAUAUUUAAAAGUUUUACGAGAUAAUCUUUCUUUUUUUUAUAAAUUUUAUUUUAAUUUUAAAAAAUAAGAUUCCAGCGUAUUAAAAAGUACUAUUUACUUCUGUUUCUUGUUAAGCCUUGUUGCUGUAUGCCUUUCUUGAUAACUUGACUUGAUUUAUGGCGAUAUAUAAAAAAAUGAACAAGCUGCAAUAUCCUUGUUGGAAAAAAUAAUAUAAAAGUACAAGAUACAUGAAAAUUCAAUUAAAAAUCAAAUAAGAAAUCAAUAAAAACCACAUUACUGUUGAAUAAAUUCAGAAUACAUUAGGAAUUUUUGAAAAUCUUUGAUGUCUUU